AGCUUUGCAUGGUGGCAGCAUGGUAGCCAAAGAAGUUUAUCCAAGGCAGGAUUUACUGCUAAUUGAAAACUUUUCCCAAGUCUGAGCAAUAGACAGAUCUUUUCUUUUUUAUUAACCCCCAAAUUAGG
Molecule: small nuclear RNA, 128 nt
Filed under: Spermophilus dauricus (Daurian ground squirrel)
Lineage: Eukaryota; Metazoa; Chordata; Mammalia; Rodentia; Sciuridae
Description: U4 spliceosomal RNA (ENSSDAG00000022766.1)
Source: RNAcentral